CAAUCCGGGUGUCGCCU
RNAcentral lists this transfer RNA (17 nucleotides) under Streptocarpus wendlandii. RNAcentral describes it as "partial tRNA-Cys". RNAcentral also lists the same sequence under 3 other names. Lineage: Eukaryota; Viridiplantae; Streptophyta; Magnoliopsida; Lamiales; Gesneriaceae. The record is from RNAcentral.